RNAcentral lists this long non-coding RNA (310 nucleotides) under Ananas comosus (pineapple). RNAcentral's name for it is "long non-coding RNA (ACOM_LNC010051)". Lineage: Eukaryota; Viridiplantae; Streptophyta; Magnoliopsida; Poales; Bromeliaceae. The record is from RNAcentral.
AAAAAAAAAAAAAAGUCGUGGUACGGCCUCGGCAGCGUCGGAGACGAGGAAGGUGCGGUGGUAUGCGGGCGAGGCCGCUCUCUGGGAAGAGAAAGAAAAAAAGAACGAGAGAAAAAAAAGAGAAGAGAGAAAAAGGUAUAAGGGUAUUUUAGUCAGUUUGCUGAAAAAGCGGACCGAAUCUGCAAAAACGAAAAAUGUGGCCCAAUUUUGUAAAAGCCCAAAAUAAAUAAAUUUUUAUGCAAAUCGGCCAAUAAAAAUUCUUUUGAAUUUCUCUUUUCAAAGAAACUAAAACAACGCUACUAUUUAAACC